RNAcentral lists this ribosomal RNA (232 nucleotides) under uncultured bacterium. RNAcentral's name for it is "partial 16S ribosomal RNA". It matches the Rfam family "Bacterial small subunit ribosomal RNA", at positions 118 to 347 of the family's 1533-position model. The record is from RNAcentral.
UGAGGAACAUGACCUUCGGCGGGGGAUAGCCGGCCCAACGGCCGGGUAAUACCGCGUACGACCACAUGGGGACAUCCCUGAGUGGUGAAAGCAGCAAUGCGCCGAUGGAGUGCCUCGCGGCCUAUCAGCUAGUUGGUGAGGUAACGGCUCACCAAGGCGACGACGGGUAGCUGGUCUGAGAGGAUGGCCAGCCACAUUGGGACUGAGACACGGUCCAGACCUCUACGGGAGG